GUGUCAGCAGCCGCGGUAAUACGGAGGAUGCAAGCGUUAUCCGGAUUUAUUGGGUUUAAAGGGUGCGUAGGCGGGAAUUUAAGUCAGUGGUGAAAUACUGCAGCUUAACUGUAGCACUGCCAUUGAUACUGAAUUUCUUGAGUACGGUUGAAGUAGGCGGAAUGUGUAAUGUAGCGGUGAAAUGCUUAGAGAUUACACAGAACACCGAUUGCGUAGGCAGCUUACUAAGCCGUAACUGACGCUGAGGCACGAAAGUGUGGGGAUCGAACAGGAUUAGAUACCCGCGUAGUCC
RNAcentral lists this ribosomal RNA (292 nucleotides) under uncultured bacterium. RNAcentral's name for it is "partial 16S ribosomal RNA". It matches the Rfam family "Bacterial small subunit ribosomal RNA", at positions 505 to 796 of the family's 1533-position model. The record is from RNAcentral.